CUCCUGAAUGUCAAAACGACUCUCGGCAACGGAUAUCUCGGCUCUCGCAUCGAUGAAGAACGUAGCGAAAUGCGAUACUUGGUGUGAAUUGCAGAAUCCCGUGAACCAUCGAGUCUUUGAACGCAAGUUGCGCCCGAAGCCUUCGGGCCGAGGGCACGCCUGCCUGGGCGUCACGCAUC
Molecule: ribosomal RNA, 179 nt
Filed under: Phaulopsis verticillaris
Lineage: Eukaryota; Viridiplantae; Streptophyta; Magnoliopsida; Lamiales; Acanthaceae
Description: 5.8S ribosomal RNA
Rfam family: 5.8S ribosomal RNA (bases 18-173)
About the family: 5.8S ribosomal RNA (5.8S rRNA) is a component of the large subunit of the eukaryotic ribosome. It is transcribed by RNA polymerase I as part of the 45S precursor that also contains 18S and 28S rRNA.
Source: RNAcentral